GCACAGGUGAUUCAGUGGUAGAAUUCUCGCCUUCAGUGCGGGAGAUCUGGGUUUGAUUCCCGGCCAAUGCA
RNAcentral lists this transfer RNA (71 nucleotides) under Loxodonta africana (African savanna elephant). It matches the Rfam family "tRNA". Rfam says of the family: Transfer RNA (tRNA) molecules are approximately 80 nucleotides in length. Their secondary structure includes four short double-helical elements and three loops (D, anti-codon, and T loops). The record is from Rfam by way of RNAcentral. Lineage: Eukaryota; Metazoa; Chordata; Mammalia; Proboscidea; Elephantidae.